GAUCAGUGACUAGAAUCGAAGAAAGCACUUUUUUAACUAUACUUUAUAUAUAUUUUUUGAUGAAUUCUUAGCUAGGAUGAGAGAGAUAUUUGAAGUUGAAGUUAGCAUUUGGAAUCAAAGGAGUAGUAAGAGAUCCAAAUUACUAGUGGUUGUAUUUUGAGCUAUAUCUUAAACAAUUUGAUAAGAUUUUGGUUAAAACUUUCUAAGAAUGUAUAUUUUUAUGUCACUAAACUUUAUACAUAAGAUUUGUAGCAUUUGGAUUUUGAAUUUGUGAGAUAUGAAGAAAAUAGUACUCAAGUACUUGUGAAUUAGGAUUUGAAGCAUUUGCUAGGAUUUUUAAGAUACCAAACGAUUGGUAGUAAAUUUAUGGUUUAUUUUUUUGUAGUAAUGCUUAUGGAUAAAUUCUAUAUUAUUUGUAAAUUUGAAAAAAAUUGAAUGGUUGGAUCAAGAGAUAUGAAUUUCUAAAGUUCAAGAAAAAGAAAUCUUUUGCAAGAAAAAUAAGUUUUGAAGGGGUUUUAUUAUAAUUUGAGCAUUUUAUACAAAGUAAAGGGAUUUUUUGGAAGUCAAGACUUUAUAUAUAUAUUGAAGAUAGAUAUAUAGAGCUAUGAUUAAAUU
Molecule: long non-coding RNA, 615 nt
Filed under: Physcomitrium patens
Lineage: Eukaryota; Viridiplantae; Streptophyta; Bryopsida; Funariales; Funariaceae
Description: long non-coding RNA (PPAT_LNC011577)
Source: RNAcentral